RNAcentral lists this ribosomal RNA (253 nucleotides) under uncultured bacterium. RNAcentral describes it as "partial 16S ribosomal RNA". It matches the Rfam family "Bacterial small subunit ribosomal RNA", at positions 524 to 776 of the family's 1533-position model. The record is from RNAcentral.
UACGGAGGAGGCAAGCGUUAUCCGGAAUUAUUGGGCGUAAAGCGUCCGCAGGUGGCACUUCAAGUCUGUCGUCAAAGACUGGGGCUUAACCCUGGAAAGGCGGUGGAAACUGAAGCGCUAGAGUGCGGUAGGGGUAGAGGGAAUUCCCGGUGUAGCGGUGAAAUGCGUAGAGAUCGAGAGGAACACCUGUGGCGAAGGCGGGUCUCUGGACAGUUCCUGACGCUGAGGCACGAAAGCCAGGGGAGCAAACGGG